This 253-nucleotide ribosomal RNA is filed under the name uncultured bacterium. RNAcentral's name for it is "partial 16S ribosomal RNA". It matches the Rfam family "Bacterial small subunit ribosomal RNA", at positions 524 to 776 of the family's 1533-position model. The record is from RNAcentral.
UACGUAGGGGGCAAGCGUUGUCCGGAUUUAUUGGGCGUAAAGAGCGUGUAGGCGGCCAGACAGGUCCACUGUGAAAACUCGAGGCUCAACCUCGAGAGGUCGGUGGAAACCGUCUGGCUAGAGUCCGGAAGAGGAGAGUGGAAUUCCCGGUGUAGCGGUGAAAUGCGCAGAUAUCAGGAGGAACACCGGUGGUGUAGACGGCUCUCUGGACCGUAACUGACGCUGAGGCACGAAAGCGUGGGUAGCAAACAGG